GAUGGCAUAGAUAAACAUGACCAGGAAGAGCAGGAGGCCGAUGUUAAACAACGCAGGAAGGGACAUCAUCAAAGCAAAGAGCAGCGUGCGGAUCCCCUUUGCUCCUUUGAUCAGACGUAGGAUUCGGCCAAUCCUGGCAAGACGGAUCACUCGGAACAAGCACGCGGAACACAAUCAGGAAGGAGUGGAAGAAGUCGUUCAUGUGCCACCGUGGGAGCGUACAGUCAUCAUUGAUCUUGCAGACACAUUCUUUGUAGCUCUUACCAAAGAGCUGCAUGCCGACCACAGCAAAAAUGAAGACGAUGAUGGCCAACACCAAGGGAUUGUAGCAACCAAACUGCUGAAGACUGGCGUGGUCUGUCUGUCUUCACCCUCCAGAGGAUAGAGGACCUGGUAAGUAAGAAACUGACUAGUGAGGGCAGUAAUCCUGAGGAGAAACCUAAGAAGAGGUGAGAGGGAAGAUGCCAGGAGGGAGAGAUGCCCUGCCGUGUGCCAGGUGUGCCACCUGAGCUGUCUCCUCAAGGACAUGGAGGAUUCAGGAUCCUGAUAAAAUUGCCAGUGCAAAAUCAGACAUUGAGUUCACUCAUUCUUCAAGUGUCACUCCUCUUUAAAAAUUAACAGACUUUUUUUAGAACAAUUUUAGGUUUACAGAAAAGUCUAUCAGAAAGUAUUGAGUUCCCACAUCGAGUGCCCUAUUGAAUGUCUUAAAUAUCUGUCUUCAAAAUUUUUAUUGAGAAAUAAAUUGAGAGAAUAAAUAG
This is a long non-coding RNA of Homo sapiens (human), 758 nucleotides long. The record is from Ensembl. Lineage: Eukaryota; Metazoa; Chordata; Mammalia; Primates; Hominidae.